RNAcentral lists this ribosomal RNA (462 nucleotides) under uncultured bacterium. Its description in RNAcentral is "partial 16S ribosomal RNA". It matches the Rfam family "Bacterial small subunit ribosomal RNA", at positions 28 to 507 of the family's 1533-position model. The record is from RNAcentral.
GACGAACGCUGGCGGCGUGCUUAACACAUGCAAGUCGAGCGGUAAGGCCUUUCGGGGUCCACGAGCGGCGAACGGGUGAGUAACACGCGGGUGAUCUGCCCUGCACUUCGGGAUAAGCCUGGGAAACUGGGUCUAAUACCGGAUAUGACCUCCUAUCGCAUGGUGGGUGGUGGAAAGAUUUAUCGGUGCAGGAUGGGCCCGCGGCCUAUCAGCUUGUUGGUGGGGUAAUGGCCUACCAAGGCGACGACGGGUAGCCGACCUGAGAGGGUGACCGGCCACACUGGGACUGAGACACGGCCCAGACUCCUACGGGAGGCAGCAGUGGGGAAUAUUGCACAAUGGGCGAAAGCCUGAUGCAGCGACGCCGCGUGAGGGAUGACGGCCUUCGGGUUGUAAACCUCUUUCAGCAGGGACGAAGCGCAAGUGACGGUACCUGCAGAAGAAGCACCGGCUAACUACGUG